RNAcentral lists this transfer RNA (65 nucleotides) under Hydroides elegans (calcareous tube worm). Its description in RNAcentral is "tRNA-Thr". It matches the Rfam family "tRNA". Rfam says of the family: Transfer RNA (tRNA) molecules are approximately 80 nucleotides in length. Their secondary structure includes four short double-helical elements and three loops (D, anti-codon, and T loops). Lineage: Eukaryota; Metazoa; Annelida; Polychaeta; Sabellida; Serpulidae. The record is from RNAcentral.
GCAAGUGUAGUUUAAAAAAAAAACAUUAGUCUUGUAAACUUAAGAUGCCUAAUAGGCUGCUUGUA